This 253-nucleotide ribosomal RNA is filed under the name uncultured bacterium. Its description in RNAcentral is "partial 16S ribosomal RNA". It matches the Rfam family "Bacterial small subunit ribosomal RNA", at positions 524 to 776 of the family's 1533-position model. The record is from RNAcentral.
UACAGAGGGUGCGAGCGUUAAUCGGAUUUACUGGGCGUAAAGGGUGCGUAGGCGGAUGUAUGAGUGUGAUGUGAAAGCCCCGGGCUUAACCUGGGAAGCGCAUCGCAAACGAUACGUCUGGAGUAGAUGAGAGGGUGGCGGAAUUUCCGGUGUAGCGGUGAAAUGCGUAGAGAUCGGAAGGAACGUCGAUGGCGAAGGCAGCCACCUGGCAUCAUACUGACGCUGAGGCACGAAAGCGUGGGGAGCAAACAGG